AGAUUGAACGCUGGCGGCAGGCCUAACACAUGCAAGUCGAGCGGCAGCACGGGUACUUGUACCUGGUGGCGAGCGGCGGACGGGUGAGUAAUGCCUAGGAAUCUGCCUGAUAGUGGGGAUAACGCUCGGAAACGGACGCUAAUACCGCAUACGUCCUACGGGAGAAAGCAGGGGGACCUUCGGGCCUUGCGCUAUCAGAUGAGCCUAGGACGGAUUAGCUUAGGUUGGUGGGGUAAUGGCUCACCAAGG
RNAcentral lists this ribosomal RNA (249 nucleotides) under uncultured soil bacterium. RNAcentral's name for it is "partial 16S ribosomal RNA". It matches the Rfam family "Bacterial small subunit ribosomal RNA", at positions 26 to 273 of the family's 1533-position model. The record is from RNAcentral.